UACGUAGGUGGCAAGCGUUGUCCGGAUUUACUGGGCGUAAAGAGCGCGCAGGCGGUCGAGUAAGUCGAGUGUGAAAGCCCCCGGCUUAACUGGGGAGGGUCAUUCGAUACUGUUCGACUUGAAGGCAGGAGAGGGCAGCAGAAUUCCCGGUGUAGUGGUGAAAUGCGUAGAUAUCGGGAGGAAUACCAGUGGCGAAGGCGGCUGCCUGGCCUGUUCUUGACGCUGAGGCGCGAAAGCUGGGGGAGCAAACGGG
Molecule: ribosomal RNA, 253 nt
Filed under: uncultured bacterium
Lineage: Bacteria
Description: partial 16S ribosomal RNA
Rfam family: Bacterial small subunit ribosomal RNA
Source: RNAcentral